GUUAAAAAACAUGCGGCGCCAAAGUCCUUCUACCACUUCCUGUAGUCUUCUUUGUCUUUUCCAGCAAUAGUAACAUCUGUUUCUUGAUCAUGACUUAAAAAAAGUUGUUUCCAUU
Molecule: long non-coding RNA, 115 nt
Organism: Xiphophorus hellerii (green swordtail)
Lineage: Eukaryota; Metazoa; Chordata; Actinopteri; Cyprinodontiformes; Poeciliidae
Exons: 3
Source: RefSeq, a predicted model, not a curated record